RNAcentral lists this ribosomal RNA (252 nucleotides) under uncultured bacterium. Its description in RNAcentral is "partial 16S ribosomal RNA". It matches the Rfam family "Bacterial small subunit ribosomal RNA", at positions 524 to 776 of the family's 1533-position model. The record is from RNAcentral.
UACGUAGGAGGCAAGCGUUGUCCGGAAUUACUGGGCGUAAAGCGCGUGUAGGUGGUGGGACAAGUCUGCUGUGAAAGUGCCUGGCUUAACCGGGCGAGGUCGGCGGAAACUGUCCGAUUCGAGGACGGUAGAGGGGGUGGAAUUCCCGGUGUAGUGGUGAAAUGCGUAGAGAUCGGGAGGAACACCUGUGGCGAAGGCGGCCCCCUGGGCCGGCCCUGACACUGAGACGCGAAGGCGUGGGGAGCGAACGGG